Molecule: unclassified non-coding RNA, 281 nt
Filed under: Hevea brasiliensis (rubber tree)
Lineage: Eukaryota; Viridiplantae; Streptophyta; Magnoliopsida; Malpighiales; Euphorbiaceae
Source: RNAcentral
CUUUCUUGUUUUCCCUGCAACAGUCUUCAGUUCAUUCCUACAAACAGAAAAUAUAGCCGAGCAAAAUCAAAGUUUGUUUAAGUUUUGAUUUCAAGUUGAAAAAAAAAAAAAAAAAAAACCCAAAAAACAAACAACCUUACUAUAAAAAUCUCCUUCUACAGAAACAGGACAUGAACCUUCUUGCUCUGUUUCUGCCCAUGUGGGCAUUGUCUAGCACAUUUUUGUUUUUCUUGCUUGAUGCCAGACCAGAGUCAACAUUCUCCACCAAUUCUAGGCCUGCC